GAUGAACGCUGGCGGCGUGCCUAAUACAUGCAAGUCGAGCGAACAGACGAGGAGCUUGCUCCUCUGACGUUAGCGGCGGACGGGUGAGUAACACGUGGAUAACCUACCUAUAAGACUGGGAUAACUUCGGGAAACCGGAGCUACUACCGGAUAAUAUAUUGAACCGCAUGGUUCAAUAGUGAAAGACGGUUUUGCUGUCACUUAUAGCUGGAUCCGCGCCGCAUUAGCUAGUUGGUAAGGUAACGGCUUACCAAGGCGACGAUGCGUAGCCGACCUGAGAGGGUGAUCGGCCACACUGGAACUGAGACACGGUCCAGACUCCUACGGGAGGCAGCAGUAGGGAAUCUUCCGCAAUGGGCGAAAGCUUGACGGAGCAACGCCGCGUGAGUGAUGAAGGUCUUCGGAUCGUAAAACUCUGUUAUUAGGGAAGAACAAAUGUGUAAGUAACUAUGCACGUCUUGACGGUACCUAAUCAGAAAGCCACGGCUAACUACGUG
RNAcentral lists this ribosomal RNA (497 nucleotides) under uncultured bacterium. Its description in RNAcentral is "partial 16S ribosomal RNA". It matches the Rfam family "Bacterial small subunit ribosomal RNA", at positions 28 to 507 of the family's 1533-position model. The record is from RNAcentral.